Molecule: ribosomal RNA, 450 nt
Filed under: uncultured bacterium
Lineage: Bacteria
Description: bacterial SSU rRNA
Rfam family: Bacterial small subunit ribosomal RNA
Source: RNAcentral
GUGGGGAAUAUUGGACAAUGGGCGAAAGCCUGAUCCAGCCAUGCCGCGUGUGUGAAGAAGGUCUUCGGAUUGUAAAGCACUUUAAGUUGGGAGGAAGGGCAGUAAGUUAAUACCUUGCUGUUUUGACGUUACCGACAGAAUAAGCACCGGCUAACUUCGUGCCAGCAGCCGCGGUAAUACGAAGGGUGCAAGCGUUAAUCGGAAUUACUGGGCGUAAAGCGCGCGUAGGUGGUUCAGUAAGUUGGAAGUGAAAUCCCCGGGCUCAACCUGGGAACUGCUUUCAAAACUGCUGAGCUAGAGUACGGUAGAGGGUGGUGGAAUUUCCUGUGUAGCGGUGAAAUGCGUAGAUAUAGGAAGGAACACCAGUGACGAAGGCGACUACCUGGACUGAUACUGACACUGAGGUGCGAAAGCGUGGGGAGCAAACAGGAUUAGAAACCCCGGUAGUCC